Molecule: ribosomal RNA, 503 nt
Filed under: uncultured bacterium
Lineage: Bacteria
Description: bacterial SSU rRNA
Rfam family: Bacterial small subunit ribosomal RNA
Source: RNAcentral
GAUGAACGCUAGCGGCAGGCUUAAUACAUGCAAGUCGAGGGGCAGCACAGAUAGCAAUAUUGGGUGGCGACCGGCAAGCGGGUGCGGAACACGUACACAACCUUCCUUUUGGUGGGGGAUAGCCUUUGGAAACGAAGAUUAAUACCCCAUAAUACAAUGUUACUGCAUAGUGAUAUUGUUAAAGAUUUAUCGCCGGAAGAUGGGUGUGCGUAUGAUUAGGUAGUUGGUAGGGUAACGGCCUACCAAGCCGACGAUGAUUAACUGGUGUGAGAGCACGACCGGGCACACGGGCACGGAGACACGGGCCCGACUCCGACGGGAGGCAGCAGUAAGGAAUAUUGGUCAAUGGACGAAAGUCUGAACCAGCCAUGCCGCGUGGAGGAUGAAGGUCCUCUGGAUUGUAAACUUCUUUUAUAGGGGGCGAAAACGAGUCAUUCUUGAUUCUCUGACGGUACCCUAUGAAUAAGCACCGGCUAACUCCGUGCCAGCAGCCGCCGUAAAAC